AGAGUUUGAUCAUGGCUCAGGACGAACGCUGGCGGCGUGCAUAACACAUGCAAGUCACGGGGGCCCGCAAGGGUAACCGGCGAACGGGUGCGUAACACGUGAGCAACCUGCCAUAGUGUGGGGCAUAGCCGGCCUAACGGCCGGGUAAUUCCGCAUACGAUCUUGAAGGAGCAUUCCUUUAAGAUGAAACGAGUAAUCGG
Molecule: ribosomal RNA, 200 nt
Filed under: uncultured bacterium
Lineage: Bacteria
Description: partial 16S ribosomal RNA
Rfam family: Bacterial small subunit ribosomal RNA
Source: RNAcentral